Long non-coding RNA from Drosophila miranda, 953 nucleotides. RefSeq lists it as uncharacterized. The record is from RefSeq and is a predicted model, not a curated record. Lineage: Eukaryota; Metazoa; Arthropoda; Insecta; Diptera; Drosophilidae. The transcript is spliced from 3 exons.
ACGAAACUCAAAGUAAAUCCAAAAUUCCUGACAGGAAAUGUAACGGAUGGCUGAGUUGCACAAAAUUCAUGGAAUAUUCGAUUACAGAAGCAAAUUAAAACCACAAAUGGAAUUAUAAAUUCAACACAACACACCAGAGGACAGAGAGGAUACACACAGGACACAAAGGACCAAAAGACAGACCAUGUGGAAAAAACCAAGCAGCCCGCAGGACAACAAAAGUUAAGCCAGAAUAAAGGCCGAGAGCCAGGAGUAAAGGACAAACGAUGCAUGCAUGAGCGUAUUGGCCAGAAAGGACUUGACAACUUGUCAAUCGGAGGAGUGGAGUGGGUGGAGUGUAUGUGCUGUUCAGUAGCCAUAGAUUUAACGGGGGAUUGCAUUUUGAUGGAGACUGGAGAUACACUGAGGAAUUGCUUCUUGGUGGAAUGACGUCUACCUUGGAAGAACUGCUCCCUAAGAUCUAAUCUAUGUACUACCUUUAUCUACACUCUCUCUCUAAUGCGGAUAUCUCAUGCAUUGCAAUGCACCAUCAGGAAAUACCAAGUUCCAACUUUUUAUACCCGAAUUCCACGAAUAAAAGCAGUGUACCUCCCGCCCAACGUACCGAGGGGCGCUGCCGUAUGACUCGCGACAUGUUUCAUCGAAUUUAAGAUGGAUUUCCUUUCGAUAUGGUUUUCUCUUUUAGAUCCAAAGAUUCUUUGAUUCUUCAUUUACUCUACUUAAACGCGUACUCUGUUAGAAGAUCAAUCUAAAGCGAACAUCUUGUGGUCUAACGAAAACAGUGUCCAUAUUCCAUAAACUUGUUCUGAGAGACCUUUCCAGCUUUCUUUCCUUUCGGCAUCUAAGCUUUUUGGGGUCUUUCUCUCAGUGUAAAAUCCAGUAAGAGUUUUAGCCACAGUUCAUGGGGGAUUUGUUCCUGCUGUUCCUCCUGCUUCAUGGUCACGCAUAAAUGC